UUCAUGGAGAGUUUGAUCCUGGCUCAGGACGAACGCUGGCGGCGUGCCUAACACAUGCAAGUCGAACGGACCGAAGUGAAUAGUUUACUAUUUACUUCGG
This 100-nucleotide ribosomal RNA is filed under the name Bacillota bacterium LX-D. RNAcentral describes it as "partial 16S ribosomal RNA". It matches the Rfam family "Bacterial small subunit ribosomal RNA", at positions 1 to 95 of the family's 1533-position model. Lineage: Bacteria; Bacillati; Bacillota. The record is from RNAcentral.